This is a long non-coding RNA of Carya illinoinensis, 781 nucleotides long. RefSeq lists it as uncharacterized. Lineage: Eukaryota; Viridiplantae; Streptophyta; Magnoliopsida; Fagales; Juglandaceae. The transcript has 2 exons. The record is from RefSeq and is a predicted model, not a curated record.
AUUUUUUACACAAUUUUUUUUUUUUUUUUUUUUUUAAAUUUUGGUUGUAGAAAGUAAUGCUCGGAUCGGAUGCUGAUAAAGUGUAGGAAAAGGAUAGAGAAGAGAAAAUUGAAUUUUUUUUCCCUUUCUAUUUUUGCAUAAUUCCAAUGCGUUACUGCAACCAUUUUGAUUGUUUGAGGUGAGUAAAACGAUUUUUUAAUUUUUUUUAAAUAUUGUUUGAUUGCUUGAGUUAUUUAUUUAUUUAUUAUUAUUUUUUUUAUCAUAAUCUCAAAUAAUGAGUAAAUUCUUUUUCGAGAUUCGUGUGUAAUUAUUUCAGGGUUCUUUUUAGCCCCCCUCCCCCCAAUCUUCUUGUGGGAAUGAUACUCUCAUCUUACGUUGGUCCAAAAUUUUUAUAGUUUUCAAUAUGCCUGAUCCAUUUUGUAAUAUUCUAAAUUAAGUAUAGGAAGAUGGUGAAUGAGAUCCACAUUGCUUGGGAGAGAGAAGUUCUUGCCCUCUUGAUUCCAAGGGGCUCCAAUUGUAACCUACUAGCCCUUUUGGGGUAUGAUCUUAGUUGUGGCUUUGGGCCUUCCUUGGGUCGUUACACAUCUGUUGAGGAACAAUGCCAAAUCGACUUUUACCUUCUCCCCCUCUGGUGUGGGAGGGGGAGGAUGAUGCACAGAUGUAAGUUUUGAUGUACGUCUGGUCUGUGGAAAAAGUUGUCUAGUAGUUUGGCACUCAAUUUUUCAGUAAUUUCAGUUCUUUUGACAGAUGGGGUUGGGGGGUAUUACAACUUUGUUGGAGA